GACAGAGGUGCCAAGCGUUAGGCGGAAUCACUGGGCUUAAAGCGUGUGUAGGCGGAUCGUUAAGUACCUUGUGAAAUCCCACGGCUCAACCGUGGAACUGCUCGGUAUACUGGCGGUCUUGAGCCACCUAGGGGCAACUGGAACAAGCGGUGGAGCGGUGAAAUGCGUAGAUAUCAUUUGGAACGCCAAUGGUGAAAACAGGUAGCUGGGAGUGUGCUGACACUGAGACACGAAAGCCAGGGGAGCGAACGGG
Molecule: ribosomal RNA, 253 nt
Filed under: uncultured bacterium
Lineage: Bacteria
Description: partial 16S ribosomal RNA
Rfam family: Bacterial small subunit ribosomal RNA
Source: RNAcentral